GACGAACGCUGGCGGCAUGCCUAACACAUGCAAGUCGAGCGAGUAGAUCCCUUCGGGGUGAAGCAAGCGGCGGACGGGUGAGUAACACGUGGGCAACCUGCCUCAUAGAGGGGAAUAGCCUUCCGAAAGGAAGAUUAAUACCGCAUAAGAUUGUAGUACCGCAUGGUAUAGCAAUUAAAGGAGCAAUCCGCUAUGAGAUGGGCCCGCGGCGCAUUAGCUAGUUGGUGAGGUAACGGCUCACCAAGGCGACGAUGCGUAGCCGACCUGAGAGGGUGAUCGGCCACAUUGGGACUGAGACACGGCCCAGACUCCUACGGGAGGCAGCAGUGGGGAAUAUUGCACAAUGGGGGAAACCCUGAUGCAGCAAUGCCGCGUGAGUGAUGACGGCCUUCGGGUUGUAAAGCUCUGUCUUCGGGGACGAUAAUGACGGUACCCGAGGAGGAAGCCACGGCUAACUACGUGCCAGCCGCCGCUGUAA
Molecule: ribosomal RNA, 478 nt
Filed under: uncultured bacterium
Lineage: Bacteria
Description: partial 16S ribosomal RNA
Rfam family: Bacterial small subunit ribosomal RNA
Source: RNAcentral